AAUGAAUUUGUUGAGGUGGCUUUGGAAAGAGAGAGGAGCUACGAUUGAUAGGUAUUCGAUGUCGAUUAGCAUUUGGAGAUUGGAAUCGGAAGGGGAGGAAGACGAUGGGAAUUGGGUGGGAUUUUUGAAGUUACGGCGGCGACGGUGGUGGCGACGGAGGGCGCAGGUGGUGGCGACGCCAUUCCGGCGGUGGAAACGAGGAUGUGCAGAAGAAAUGAAUGAUAGGGAGUAAUUUACAGGGCAGUUCAUUACUGAGGUUUUUNN
RNAcentral lists this long non-coding RNA (264 nucleotides) under Panax ginseng (ginseng). RNAcentral's name for it is "long non-coding RNA (PGIN_LNC012077)". The record is from RNAcentral. Lineage: Eukaryota; Viridiplantae; Streptophyta; Magnoliopsida; Apiales; Araliaceae.